GGCCUACCAUGGUGGUAACGGGUAACGGGGUGUUAGGGCACGACGCCGGAGAGGGAGCCUGAGAAACGGCUACCACAUCCAAGGAUGGCAGCAGGCGCGCAAAUUACCCAAUCCCGACACGGGGAGGUAGUGACAAUAAAUAACAAUACGGGGUUCUUUAGGAUCUCGUAAUUGGAAUGAGUACAAUUUAAAUCUCUUAACGAGGAACAAUUGGAGGGCAAGUCUGGUGCCAGCAGCCGCGGUAAUUCCAGCUCCAAUAGCGUAUAUUAAAGUUGUUGCAGUUAAAAAGCUCGUAGUUGAAUUUCGGGAUCAAUUUAUUGGUCGUGCUAUUGUACGCACUGGUAUUAUUGAUUCCUACCUUCUGACGAACCAUGAUGUCAUUAAUUUGGUGUGGGGGGGGAAUCAGGACUGUUACUUUGAAAAAAUUAGAGUGUUUAAAGCAGGCUCACGCUUGAAUACAUUAGCAUGGAAUAACGAAAUAGGACGUUCGAUCCUAUUUUGUUGGUUUCUAGGAUUGACGUAAUGAUUAAUAGGGAUAGUUGGGGGCAUUAGUAUUCAAUUGUCAGAGGUGAAAUUCUUGGAUUUAUUGAAGACUAACUACUGCGAAAGCAUUUGCCAAGGAUGUUUCCAUUAAUCAAGAACGAAAGUUAGGGGAUCGAAGACGAUCAGAUACCGUCGUAGUCUUAACCAUAAACUAUGCCGACUAGGGAUCGGAUGAUGUUGAUUUUUUAAUGACUCAUUCGCACCUUACG
RNAcentral lists this ribosomal RNA (752 nucleotides) under uncultured Glomeromycotina. RNAcentral describes it as "SSU rRNA". It matches the Rfam family "Eukaryotic small subunit ribosomal RNA", at positions 338 to 1092 of the family's 1831-position model. Lineage: Eukaryota; Fungi; Glomeromycota. The record is from RNAcentral.